UUUCCGUAGGUGAACCUGCGGAAGGAUCAUUGUCGAAACCUGCAAGGCAGAACGACCCGUGGACCGUCUAGAACUUUACUCGAGGGGUGGGCCGUUGUGGUCCUCGCUCGUUUGCCCCGGGGCGGGGUUGCUGGUCAAGGCUGCACCCCCUCGCCGUGGGCGCAAACAACAAACCCCGGCGCAAAUCGCGCCAAGGAAUAAGGAAGAGAGACGUGAUCCCUGGGUCCCGGAGACGGUGCACCUGGGAUUGCGUUGUCGUUAUCCAAUUCGAAACGACUCUCGGCAACGGAUAUCUCGGCUCUCGCAUCGAUGAAGAACGUAGCGAAAUGCGAUACUUGGUGUGAAUUGCAGAAUCCCGUGAACCAUCGAGUUUUUGAACGCAAGUUGCGCCCGAAGCCGUUAGGCCGAGGGCACGCCUGCCUGGGUGUCACGAAAUGUCGCCAAACAUGCCUCCACACCCGUUCUACGGGGGAGCMUCGGGGGCUGGCGGAUGUUGGCCUCCCGUGUGCAGUCGCUAACGGUUGGCCUAAAAGAGAGUCCCCCAGACGAGGUGGCCACGACAAGCGGUGGUUGAAAGCUUGUGCUCUACUCGAACACCGUCGUGGGCAAGCCUAGUCUAAAGGGGAAGCCGAAGGCCCUGACGCGGAGCGUCUCUCACACAGCGACCCCAGGUCAGGCGGGAACACCCGCUGAGUUUAAG
RNAcentral lists this ribosomal RNA (700 nucleotides) under Peritassa laevigata. RNAcentral describes it as "eukaryotic LSU rRNA". The stretch from base 275 to 430 matches the Rfam family "5.8S ribosomal RNA". The record is from RNAcentral. Lineage: Eukaryota; Viridiplantae; Streptophyta; Magnoliopsida; Celastrales; Celastraceae.